Molecule: transfer RNA, 69 nt
Filed under: Perodicticus potto (potto)
Lineage: Eukaryota; Metazoa; Chordata; Mammalia; Primates; Lorisidae
Also listed under: 1 other name
Description: tRNA-Phe
Rfam family: tRNA
About the family: Transfer RNA (tRNA) molecules are approximately 80 nucleotides in length. Their secondary structure includes four short double-helical elements and three loops (D, anti-codon, and T loops). Further hydrogen bonds mediate the characteristic L-shaped molecular structure. tRNAs have two regions of fundamental functional importance: the anti-codon, which is responsible for specific mRNA codon recognition, and the 3' end, to which the tRNAs corresponding amino acid is attached (by aminoacyl-tRNA synthetases). tRNAs cope with the degeneracy of the genetic code in two manners: having more than one tRNA (with a specific anti-codon) for a particular amino acid; and 'wobble' base-pairing, i.e. permitting non-standard base-pairing at the 3rd anti-codon position.
Source: RNAcentral
GUUAAUGUAGCUUAAUAACAAAGCGAAGCACUGAAAAUGCUUAAAUGAGCACUAAAAGCUCCAUAAACA